This is a non-coding RNA of Pelobates cultripes (western spadefoot toad), 316 nucleotides long. The record is from the annotation of a GenBank genome assembly. NCBI's taxonomy places the organism in Eukaryota, Metazoa, Chordata, Amphibia, Anura, Pelobatidae.
GUGAUGUUGACCAGGGCAGCAUUAAUAUUCCUACUAGUCCAAGCUGCCUCCAGCAAGCCUCCUCCUCCCAGGGGAGUACAGUUUUUACUAUUACUGUCACCUAGCCUUUACUCCCUUUUGCCCUUUUAUCUAUUACAAGUAAUUCGAGCUUCCCCUGCCCUUUUCAAUGGGAGACACGGCUUUCUGCAAAGCCUACUCCUGCCACUAAGAUCACAAGGUACAGAUCCUUUCUAAAUUGAGGGGUUUACUGUCAAAAUGAAAAUUUCACUUCAAAUUAUCUUGGCUGAUGCAGGUUUUCCAGGCCGGGGGCUCCUCU